GGGGAAUCUUGCGCAAUGGACGAAAGUCUGACGCAGCCACGCCGCGUGAGUGAAGAAGGCCUUCGGGUUGUAAAGCUCUGUCGGAAGGGACAAAAACUAUGUGAGUUAAUAGCUCGUGUGCUUGAUGGUACCUUUAAAGGAAGCACCGGCUAACUUCGUGCCAGCAGCCGCGGUAAUACGAAGGGUGCAAGCGUUGCUCGGAAUUAUUGGGCGUAAAGGGUAGGUAGGUGGUUACGUAUGUCUGGGGUGAAAUCCCUGAGCUCAACUCAGGAAGUGCCUUGGAAACGGCGUAACUAGAGUGCUAGAGAGGUUCGUGGAAUUCCCAGUGUAGCGGUGAAAUGCGUAGAGAUUGGGAGGAACACCAGAGGCGAAGGCGGCGAACUGGAUAGCAACUGACACUGAACUACGAAAGCGUGGGUAGCAAAC
Molecule: ribosomal RNA, 426 nt
Filed under: uncultured bacterium
Lineage: Bacteria
Description: bacterial SSU rRNA
Rfam family: Bacterial small subunit ribosomal RNA
Source: RNAcentral